RNAcentral lists this unclassified non-coding RNA (277 nucleotides) under Hevea brasiliensis (rubber tree). Lineage: Eukaryota; Viridiplantae; Streptophyta; Magnoliopsida; Malpighiales; Euphorbiaceae. The record is from RNAcentral.
GGCAAAUUAUAAUAUUCUCUUAGUGCAUUAAAAUAGUGCGCAUUAUAGAAAGUGAGACCUGUGUUAUUAUGAGUGAAGGUUCACACGUAUCAGGUGUAGUGUAAUAAUUUUCCAUUCAAAACAGUGAGUUCAAAUAGUCCCAAGGGCAGCUGUCUUUCUCUGAUUGGUUAUUAGAUUUCCAGGGAUGGAGGAAAAGAUGUGAAAUACACAGAGUAGAUCAGAAGUUCCAUGAUGCAUUGGAUGUUGCAUUUAUAGGUUUGAACAAGACGGAUCUAGG